RNAcentral lists this unclassified non-coding RNA (319 nucleotides) under Hevea brasiliensis (rubber tree). The record is from RNAcentral. Lineage: Eukaryota; Viridiplantae; Streptophyta; Magnoliopsida; Malpighiales; Euphorbiaceae.
CACACACACACACACUCUCUCUCUUCCUCUGAAUCUUAUGAGUAUCGAGAAAGGGGUUUGAGCGAAGGGAUAUGGUGAGACUGAGAGUGUAUAAAUAGGUUAGACACGCAAGAUCAACAGUGCUGAUAUAAAGUUUGAGAGUUGGUGGAAGUGGUAAAUUUAGACAAUCGUUAUCGUAGGAGACGGAAAGUCAAGCGGGACCCAUGUGGCUGCAGAGAAAUGGCCGAUGAUCAGACCAGUUCUCUGGGUUUGAUUGAAACGUGUAGAGCAUAUGAUUGGAGAUGAUUUAAUGGUGGUGGAUUGUGGAAUGUAAUCGGCA